This 253-nucleotide ribosomal RNA is filed under the name uncultured bacterium. RNAcentral describes it as "partial 16S ribosomal RNA". It matches the Rfam family "Bacterial small subunit ribosomal RNA", at positions 524 to 776 of the family's 1533-position model. The record is from RNAcentral.
GACAGAGGGUGCAAACGUUGUUCGGAAUUACUGGGCGUAAAGGGCGCGUAGGCGGUCCGAUAAGUCCCGUGUGAAAUCCCUCGGCUCAACUGAGGAACCGCACGGGAAACUGCCGGGCUUGAGUUCGGGAGAGGGAAGCGGAAUUCCGGGUGUAGCGGUGAAAUGCGUAGAUAUCCGGAGGAACACCGGUGGCGAAGGCGGCUUCCUGGACCGACACUGACGCUGAGGCGCGAAAGCUAGGGGAGCAAACGGG